This 494-nucleotide ribosomal RNA is filed under the name uncultured bacterium. RNAcentral's name for it is "partial 16S ribosomal RNA". It matches the Rfam family "Bacterial small subunit ribosomal RNA", at positions 28 to 507 of the family's 1533-position model. The record is from RNAcentral.
GACGAACGCUGGCGGCGUGCUUAACACAUGCAAGUCGAACGGUGAAGCGCCUUCCUUUUUGGUGGGUGUGGAGGAGUGGCGAACGGGGGAGUAACACGUUGGUAACCUGCCCCCUUCUGCUUGAUAACCGCAUGAAAGUGUUGCUAAUACAGGAUAUUCUGGAUCUGUCGCAUGAUGGGUCUGGGAAAGUCUUUGUUUCGGUUGUGGAUGGGCUCGCGGCCUAUCAGCUUGUUGGUGGGGUAACGGCCUACCAAGGCGGUGAUGAGUAGCCGGCCUGAGAGGGUCGACGGUCACGCUGCGAAGGCGACGUCGACACGACUACGGCGGGAGGCAGCAGUGAGGAAUCCUGAACGAUGGGAAGACGGAUGGUGCAGCGACGCGUCAGGGAGGAGGGUCGCCGGAGGGUUAUAAACCUCUUUCGGGGAAGAACCAAGCCUUCCUCAACUGUGGAUAUGUUGACGGUAGCUGAUCAAAAAGCGACGGCUAACUACGUG